Molecule: ribosomal RNA, 548 nt
Filed under: uncultured bacterium
Lineage: Bacteria
Description: bacterial SSU rRNA
Rfam family: Bacterial small subunit ribosomal RNA
Source: RNAcentral
GGGGAAUUUUGGACAAUGGGCGCAAGCCUGAUCCAGCCAUGCCGCGUGUCUGAAGAAGGCCUUCGGGUUGUAAAGGACUUUUGUCGGGGAAGAAAAGGUCGGGGUUAAUACCCUCGGCUGAUGACGGUACCCGAAGAAUAAGCACCGGCUAACUACGUGCCAGCAGCCGCGGUAAUACGUAGGGUGCGAGCGUUAAUCGGAAUUACUGGGCGUAAAGCGGGCGCAGACGGUUACUUAAGCAGGAUGUGAAAUCCCCGGGCUCAACCCGGGAAUUGCGUUCUGAACUGGGUGGCUAGAGUGUGCCAGAGGGAGGUAGAAUUCCACGUGUAGCAGUGAAAUGCGUAGAGAUGUGGAGGAAUACCGAUGGCGAAGGCAGCCUCCUGGGAUAACACUGACGUUCAUGCCCGAAAGCGUGGGUAGCAAACAGGAUUAGAUACCCUGGUAGUCCACGCCCUAAACGAUGUCGAUUAGCUGUUGGGCAGCCUGACUGCUUGGUAGCGAAGCUAACGCGUGAAAUCGACCGCCUGGGGAGUACGGUCGCAAGAUUA